GAUGAACGCUGGCGGCGUGCCUAACACAUGCAAGUCGAGCGAUUCUCUUCGGAGAAGAGCGGCGGACGGGUGAGUAACGCGUGGGUAACCUGCCCUGUACACACGGAUAACAUACCGAAAGGUAUGCUAAUACGAGAUAAUAUAUGAAAGUUGCAUGACAUUCAUAUCAAAGCUUUUGCGGUACAGGAUGGACCCGCGUCUGAUUAGCUAGUUGGUAAGGUAACGGCUUACCAAGGCGACGAUCAGUAGCCGACCUGAGAGGGUGAUCGGCCACACUGGAACUGAGACACGGUCCAGACUCCUACGGGAGGCAGCAGUGGGGAAUAUUGCACAAUGGGCGAAAGCCUGAUGCAGCAACGCCGCGUGAGCGAUGAAGGCCUUCGGGUCGUAAAGCUCUGUCCUCAAGGAAGAUAAUGACGGUACUUGAGGAGGAAGCCCCGGCUAACUACGUGCCAGCCGCCGCUGUAA
This 468-nucleotide ribosomal RNA is filed under the name uncultured bacterium. RNAcentral describes it as "partial 16S ribosomal RNA". It matches the Rfam family "Bacterial small subunit ribosomal RNA", at positions 28 to 523 of the family's 1533-position model. The record is from RNAcentral.